Molecule: long non-coding RNA, 211 nt
Filed under: Gossypium barbadense (sea-island cotton)
Lineage: Eukaryota; Viridiplantae; Streptophyta; Magnoliopsida; Malvales; Malvaceae
Description: long non-coding RNA (GBAR_LNC017107)
Source: RNAcentral
UUGCGCCCACUACUUUCCUUAGAAUGUCGCCUUAAAGAAAUCCCACGUUAACUGGUUAGCCUGAGUACCCUCUCUCACGGUAAGCCAUCACUGAUAAGCUUCAUCUCGCACUAAAGACACUGUACCUUUUAGUUUUUGCUCAGAGGUGCAGUCUAGAAAUACCCCUGAAGAUUUCUACUCCAUUCGACCGGAGUCGUUCUAAAAUUAACCC